UUACCAACCCUUGACAUGGGUAUCGCGGCCUCAGAGAUGGGGCUUUCAGUUCGGCUGGAUACCACACAGGUGCUGCAUGGCUGUCGUCAGCUCGUGUCGUGAGAUGUUCGGUUAAGUCCGGCAACGAGCGCAACCCACACUUUCAGUUGCCAUCAUUCAGUUGGGCACUCUGGAAGAACUGCCGGUGAUAAGCCGGAGGAAGGUGUGGAUGACGUCAAGUCCUCAUGGCCCUUACGGGUUGGGCUACACACGUGCUACAAUGGUGGUGACAAUGGGUUAAUCCCCAAAAGCCAUCUCAGUUCGGAUUGUCGUCUGCAACUCGGCGGCAUGAAGUCGGAAUCGCUAGUAAUCGCGUAACAGCAUGACGCGGUGAAUACGUUCCCGGGCCUUGUACACACCGCCCGUCACACCAUGGGAAUUGGGUCUACCCGACGACGGUGCGCCAACCUCGCAAGAGGAAGCAGCCGGCCACGGUAGGCUCAGUGACUGGGGUGAAGUCGUAACAAGGUAGCC
RNAcentral lists this ribosomal RNA (513 nucleotides) under uncultured bacterium. Its description in RNAcentral is "bacterial SSU rRNA". It matches the Rfam family "Bacterial small subunit ribosomal RNA", at positions 971 to 1501 of the family's 1533-position model. The record is from RNAcentral.